GAGUAAAGCUCCGGCGCUUCGGGAGAGGCCUGCGGCCCAUCAGCUAGUUGGUAGGGUAACGGCCUACCAAGGCAGAGACGGGUAGGGGGCGUGAGAGCGCGGACCCCACACUGGCACUGAGAUACGGGCCAGACUCCUACGGGAGGCAGCAGUAAGGGAUAUUGCGCAAUGGACGAAAGUCAGACGCAGCGACGCCGCGUGGGCGAUGAAGGCCUUCGGGUUGUAAAGCCCUUUUAUGGGGGAAGAGAAAAAGGACGGUACCCCAGGAAUAAGUCCCGGCUAACUACGUGCCAGCAGCCGCGGUAAAACGUAGGGGGCAAGCGUUAUCCGGAUUCACUGGGCGUAAAGAGCGUUGAGGCGGUUCCGUAAGUUGGGCGUGAAAGCUCCGGGCUUAACUCGGAGAUGUCGUUCAAUACUGCGGGGCUUGAGGACAGCAGAGGAAGGUGGAAUUCCCGGUGUAGUGGUGAAAUGCGUAGAUAUCGGGAGGAACACCCGUGGCGAAGGCGGCCUUCUGGGCUGUUCCUGACGCUGAAGGCGAAAGCUAGGGGAGCGAACGGGAUUAGAUACCCCGGUAGUCCUAGCUGUAAACGAUGGAUGCUGGGUGUGGGGGGUGUAAAUUCCCUCUGUGCCGAAGCAAACGCGUUAAGCAUCCCGCCUGGGGACUACGGCCGCAAGGCUAAAACUCAAACGAAUUGACGGGGGCCCGCACAAGCAGCGGAGCGUGUGGUUUAAUUCGAUGCUACACGAAGAACCUUACCUGGGUUUGACAUGCACGUGGUAGGGAACCGAAAGGGGACCGACCUUCGGGAGCGUGCACAGGUGCUGCAUGGCUGUCGUCAGCUCGUGCCGUGAGGUGUCGGGUUAAGUCCCGUAACGAGCGCAACCCUUGCCCUUAGUUACAAGUGUCUAAGGGGACUGCCCGGGACAACUGGGAGGAAGGUGGGGAUGACGUCAAGUCAGCAUGGCCUUUAUAUCCAGGGCUACACACACGCUACAAUGGCCGGUACAAUAGGUUGCGAAGUCGUGAGGCGGAGCCAAUCCUCAAAGCCGGUCUCAGUUCGAAUUGCAGUCUGCAACUCGACUGCAUGAAGCUGGAGUUGCUAGUAAUCGCAGGUCAGCUAUACUGCGGUGAUACGUUCCCGG
This 1143-nucleotide ribosomal RNA is filed under the name uncultured organism. RNAcentral's name for it is "bacterial SSU rRNA". It matches the Rfam family "Bacterial small subunit ribosomal RNA", at positions 199 to 1377 of the family's 1533-position model. The record is from RNAcentral.